This 425-nucleotide ribosomal RNA is filed under the name uncultured bacterium. RNAcentral describes it as "partial 16S ribosomal RNA". It matches the Rfam family "Bacterial small subunit ribosomal RNA", at positions 354 to 796 of the family's 1533-position model. The record is from RNAcentral.
GUUAGGAAUAUUGGACAAUGGGCGCAAGCCUGAUCCAGCCAUGCCGCGUGAGUGAUGAAGGCCUUAGGGUUGUAAAGCUCUUUCAGUGGGGACGAUAAUGACGGUACCCACAGAAGAAGCCCCGGCUAACUUCGUGCCAGCAGCCGCGGUAAUACGAAGGGGGCUAGCGUUGUUCGGAUUUACUGGGCGUAAAGCGCACGUAGGCGGAUCGUUAAGUCGGGGGCGAAAUCCUGGCGCUCAACUCCAGAACUGCCUUCGAUACUGGCGAUCUUGAGUCCGGAAGAGGUGAGUGGAACUCCUAGUGUAGAGGUGGAAUUCGUAGAUAUUAGGAAGAACACCAGUGGCGAAGGCGGCUCACUGGUCCGGUACUGACGCUGAGGUGCGAAAGCGUGGGGAGCAAACAGGAUUAGAAACCCCUGUAGUCC